CUCAACCCAGGCCAGCUCCCAUGCCCUACUGAAGGUUUCCCAGAACGUGUUCAUGAGUCCUGGUCCAGACCACCUGACCUGUGCCUGGUAAAUACAGGACAUCACCUGCUCAUCCUGCAGCAUGAAAAUGGAGAGAGUAAGGCAAGUUGGAGCAAGGUAUAAAAUGCAACAGAGAGACUGCUUGGUACAAAAACUGUUGAAGCAACACUGUAAGUCUCUUUCCUCACUCCUCGAUCUCCUGGGGUGCUGCUCUAAUUGCCUUGCCGUGGGUACACCGUUGUUAGUGAGGGCAAAGAGAAGUCUUUGAUGAACAGCCGUGUGAGGCCAGUACCUCCUCUGUGCAGGAGUCCAGCCGAGUCAAAGGUCUUUGUCAAUUCCAAUCUGGUUGAGGAGCCUAGAUCUGUAGUACUGAAGGUCUUUCGAAGGAUACAUUUACAUCAAUGUGUCAGGCAUUUCUGUAUUGUUCUCAUAUGUCAAGCUAUCGAAUAGAGACAAGUUCAAACCUCUUACAUUUAAUUUAUGUGAGUAGAAAAAAAUCCACA
This is a long non-coding RNA of Peromyscus leucopus (white-footed mouse), 542 nucleotides long. RefSeq lists it as uncharacterized. Lineage: Eukaryota; Metazoa; Chordata; Mammalia; Rodentia; Cricetidae. The record is from RefSeq and is a predicted model, not a curated record. The transcript has 3 exons.